GGAAGUAAAAGUCGUAACAAGGUUUCCGUAGGUGAACCUGCGGAAGGAUCAUUACUGAUUUAGCGAACCGAGCAUUAGCGAGGUUUUGCGAUCAAUUUAUAUUUAAAACCCACUCUUUAAUGUAUAAAAUUUGUAUUAAUGAUAAAUUAAAAGAUCACUUUCAACAACGGAUCUCUUGGCUCUCGCAUCGAUGAAGAACGUAGCGAAGUGCGAUAAGUAAUGUGAAUUGCAGUAUUCCGUGAAUCAUCGAACCUUUGAACGCAUAUUGCACUUUCUGGUAUUCCGGAAAGUAUGCCUGUUUGAGGGUCAGUUAAAUAAAAAUCGGUGUUGUUGCCGCUUUUCGUGGUGACGCGUCGGAAUUGAGUUGUCUUACCUUCGGUUAAGUGACUUAAAAUUUUGUAUGAUUUUCGAACGUAUUUAAAUUUAUUUGAACGUUUGAUAUCGAAUGCUUAUUAGGUUCGGUCAUCCUCAUGACUCGCGCCUAUAAUUUUUCAUUAAAUGACCUCAAAUCAGGUAAGAAUACCCGCUGAACUUAAGCAUAUCAAUAAGCGGAGGA
Molecule: ribosomal RNA, 556 nt
Filed under: uncultured Glomus
Lineage: Eukaryota; Fungi; Glomeromycota; Glomeromycetes; Glomerales; Glomeraceae
Description: eukaryotic LSU rRNA
Rfam family: 5.8S ribosomal RNA (bases 156-309)
Source: RNAcentral